This is a long non-coding RNA of Gopherus flavomarginatus (Mexican gopher tortoise), 2075 nucleotides long. RefSeq lists it as uncharacterized. The transcript is spliced from 4 exons. Lineage: Eukaryota; Metazoa; Chordata; Testudines; Testudinidae. The record is from RefSeq and is a predicted model, not a curated record.
UGUACAUAUUUCAGACUCCUAGCUGCUGCAUUAUAUCCAUGCUAACUUAGGAACUGUACCUCUUCACACAGGGCAGUUAAUGGAUCUGAGAGACUUGGAAUCAGUUGCAGCCUAGACUCUCCCUCCUGGAAACCUGACUCCAGCUCUGUGUGGCUGGCUCAAGCAGCGAAGAAAAAAGAAAAGAAAAGAAAGAAAAACAAGAAAAACCCGAUUGAGCUGCCACUGAAGUGCCGCCGAAGAGGAAGACGGAGUGAAGGACCUGCCACCGAAUUGCCGCUGAAGACUAAAGCAGAGCGUUUGAGCUGCCGCCAAAGUGCAGCCCCAAUAACGGACGGAGUGCUGCCCCUUUCUAUUGGCCGCCCAGGCACCUGCUUCCUUCGCUGGUGCCUGGAACCACCCCUGCCACUAUAAAUUCUUCAGGGUGGGGACUAUCUCUGUGUGUUUGUCCAGCACCUAGCAGAGCGGGGUGGGGCCUUUUGGCACUGCUGCAGUCAAUAACAGUCAUCUUUGGCUGUUCUAAAGGCAUGUCAGAGACACUAUCGGAAACAAACAUCAUGGGGAAAAAUGAAACAAAAAUGACGUGAAAAUAAUAACAGAGUAAAAACACUGUGCUGAACUCUGUUUCCCACGUGUGCCCCGUUGCGGCGUUGCUGGGGGCAGAACUGACCCACUGCACUCACAAGCACCAGCAAGGGGUUCCAAGAAUUCUACCCCUCGGCAAGAGAUGAUAAGGGACAGAAAAUGUAAACACCGGGGACAACAUUCCCUUUGCAACUGGAACUCCAGUACUGGCUGCCUGGGAGAGCCACAGGAAUCCCCGAGCUCGAGCAAGGGUUGGCAAAAGUGCAGCACAAGCAGAGGGAGGAACAUUUGCAAGUCUAUAAUAAAACACAUACAGACUGCUGGCCACAGGCAUCCCCACUGUAAGCAUAUGUUUCCCUUUAAAGAACAUUCCAGGACCAGGCUUUAUGAUGAGAGAUGAGGCCAAAACUAAACGGUGACGGUUGAAUUUGAAUUUCUUGAUCUGAUUCUGUCCACAUGUUUUUCAGAGGAAGGAUGUUCCAAAAGCACAAGGUGUCUAUUUCCAGUUCCAAACUCUCCUGCUAACAGCGUGUUUCACAAGAUGUAUUCUUUAGAAAGCCCUUGAAAUGUGCCAGACAAAACGGAAGAGAAGAUUCCUGUCCCAAUUUCUGCCAUUUGGGGCUGAAAUCCUUGCUCUAAUUGGAGCCAGAAUCCCAGCUCUGAUUCAGUCUUAAACCCCAAAUGAGAUCCGAGCAUGCUUCCCUAGCUCCUUUCUAAUUCGGAAAGCUAUUCUCAGUGCUCAGCACGCUCUAAAGAAAACCUUUCGUUGCCAUUUCAUUUGAGUGCAGGAUCUCAGGAACAGACGCGGCUGACCAGCCCCAUCAGCUCCAGGGGGGCUGAUGCAUAGGUCUUCAACACACCUGAAUUAAAUUAACUCCAGCAAGUGACAUUUAUUAGCUAUGGAAAGGCAGGUGGCGGCAGUGGGGAGAAUCAGGGGAAGGAACACAAGUUGAUGACAACUUACAAGGAAUGAAGUGUUUGGUUUUAAUGACACAACAAUUGACAAAGUAUUUUAAUGGUACUCUGUACGUAUACACUGCUCAUUAUCCAACAUGUUUAUACUGCUGAACAGGGUAAUAAUGCUGACAGAUCCCAGCUGCCUAGCUUAACGCUGGGGCAACAGCAGAUCUUUCCCUCCUGAUGCUAUUUGUUAAUACAUUUUUCACUAGAUCCAAAUUAGCCUUCUGGCUCCAAAGGAGAAAUCGUUUCACUAAUAGGUCCCCUGAGCAGAAAAUCCACCACAGAGUUGCAUGUAAUAAGUAGCUGUACUUUGAACCAGACAUUUAAAAAGUGUGUUCUUAGGUCAAGUGUGCUGGCUAAAAUUGAGAAAUCAGCAUCUCAACAAGCAAUGUUACCCUCGCAGCCCCAGAGAGAUUUCCAGCAGACAGGAGAUUGUCUAGUACCAAGGCACAUGCAUAUGUUUCUCUGACAGAAGGUGAAAGGAGCAAGGAAUAAACAAAAUGCCUGUUACAUAAAAGAGCAUUAUGCCUGCA